UGGUUCUGGCAUCGAUGAAGAACGCAGCGAAAUGCGAUAAGUAAUGUGAAUUGCAGAAUUCAGUGAAUCAUCGAAUCUUUGAACGCACAUUGCGCCCGCUAGUAUUCUAGCGGGCAUGCCUGUUCGAGCGUCAUUUCAACCCUCAAGCACUGCUUGGUGUUGGGGCCCUACAGCUUCUGUAGGCCCUGAAAACUAGUGGCGGGCUCGCUAUAACUCCGAGCGUAGUAGUAACAUCUCGCUUAGGACGUGAUGGCGGGAUCCGGCCGUUAAACCCCCCAAUUUUCUGAAGGUUGACCUCGGAUCAGGUAGGAAUACCCGCUGA
Molecule: unclassified non-coding RNA, 322 nt
Filed under: uncultured fungus
Lineage: Eukaryota; Fungi
Description: partial contains 5.8S ribosomal RNA and internal transcribed spacer 2
Rfam family: 5.8S ribosomal RNA (bases 1-133)
Source: RNAcentral